CCAGACUCCUACGGGAGGCAGCAGUGGGGAAUAUUGCACAAUGGGGGAAACCCUGAUGCAGCGACGCCGCGUGAGCGAUGAAGUAUUUCGGUAUGUAAAGCUCUAUCAGCAGGGAAGAAAAUGACGGUACCUGACUAAGAAGCCCCGGCUAACUACGUGCCAGCAGCCGCGGUAAUACGUAGGGGGCAAGCGUUAUCCGGAUUUACUGGGUGUAAAGGGAGCGUAGACGGCAUGGCAAGCCAGAUGUGAAAUACCGGGGCUCAACCCCGGGACUGCAUUUGGAACUGUUAAGCUGGAGUGUCGGAGAGGCAGGCGGAAUUCCUGGUGUAGCGGUGAAAUGCGUAGAUAUCAGGAGGAACACCGGUGGCGAAGGCGGCCUGCUGGACUGCGACUGACGUUGAGGCCCGAAAGCGUGAGGAGCAAACAGGAUUAGAUACCCCUGUAUC
RNAcentral lists this ribosomal RNA (446 nucleotides) under uncultured bacterium. RNAcentral describes it as "bacterial SSU rRNA". It matches the Rfam family "Bacterial small subunit ribosomal RNA", at positions 331 to 794 of the family's 1533-position model. The record is from RNAcentral.